GACGAACGCUGGCGGCGUGCCUAAUACAUGCCAGUCGAGCGAAGUUUUUCUGGUGCUUGCACUAGAAAAACUUAGCGGCGAACGGGUGAGUAACACGUAAAGAACCUGCCUCAUAGACUGGGACAACUAUUGGAAACGAUAGCUAAUACCGGAUAACAGUAUUUCUCGCAUGAGAGAUAUUUAAAAGUUGGUUAUGCUAACACUAUGAGAUGGCUUUGCGGUGCAUUAGCUAGUUGGUGGGGUAAAGGCCCACCAAGGCGACGAUGCAUAGCCGACCUGAGAGGGUGAUCGGCCACACUGGGACUGAGACACGGCCCAGACUCCUACGGGAGGCAGCAGUAGGGAAUCUUCCGCAAUGGGCGAAAGCCUGACGGAGCAACGCCGCGUGAGUGAAGAAGGAUUUCGGUUCGUAAAGCUCUGUUGUUAGGGAAGAAUGGAUAUGUAGUAACUAUACAUGUAAGAGACGGUACCUAACCAGAAGGCCACGGCUAACUACGUG
RNAcentral lists this ribosomal RNA (499 nucleotides) under uncultured bacterium. RNAcentral's name for it is "partial 16S ribosomal RNA". It matches the Rfam family "Bacterial small subunit ribosomal RNA", at positions 28 to 507 of the family's 1533-position model. The record is from RNAcentral.